GACGAACGCUGGCGGCGUGCUUAACACAUGCAAGUCGAACGGAAAGGCCCUGCUUUUGUGGGGUGCUCGAGUGGCGAACGGGUGAGUAACACGUGAGUAACCUGCCCUUGACUUUGGGAUAACUUCAGGAAACUGGGGCUAAUACCGGAUAGGAGCUCCUGCUGCAUGGUGGGGGGUGGAAAGUUUCGGCGGUUGGGGAUGGACUCGCGGCUUAUCAGCUUGUUGGUGGGGUAGUGGCUUACCAAGGCUUUGACGGGUAGCCGGCCUGAGAGGGUGGCCGGCCACAUUGGGACUGAGAUACGGCCCAGACUCCUACGGGAGACAGCAGUGGAGAAUAUUGCACAAUGGGCGGAAGCCUGAUGCAGCAGCGCCGCGGGCGGGAUGACGGCCUUCGGGUUGUAAACCGCUUUCGCCUGUGACGAAGCGUGAGUGACGGUAAUGGGUAAAGAAGCACCGGCUAACUACGUG
Molecule: ribosomal RNA, 468 nt
Filed under: uncultured bacterium
Lineage: Bacteria
Description: partial 16S ribosomal RNA
Rfam family: Bacterial small subunit ribosomal RNA
Source: RNAcentral